RNAcentral lists this transfer RNA (85 nucleotides) under bacterium. Its description in RNAcentral is "tRNA-Leu". It matches the Rfam family "tRNA". From Rfam's summary of the family: Transfer RNA (tRNA) molecules are approximately 80 nucleotides in length. The record is from RNAcentral.
GGCCGAGUGGCGGAACUGGUAGACGCGCGCGACUCAAAAUCGCGUAUCGAAAGAUGUGAGGGUUCGACUCCCUCCUUGGCCACCA